CCCCCAGGGCUUACUUCAGAGAGUAAGGGGAGCUGUGUGUGUGGGUGACUCCCAGAUCCUGUCAGUCCUCCAGGGAGGACUCCUGCCUGGCCCAGAGGAAGGUCAUAAAUGCAACUGUGGGCACACACGUGGGCCAGGAAACGGGCCUUCAGGAGUGGCCAGGGGAUUAUUCCUUUUGAUCAAUAUGUUCUGGGAUCACGGGUAGCCCCCC
Pipistrellus kuhlii (Kuhl's pipistrelle) is the source of this 211-nucleotide long non-coding RNA. RefSeq lists it as uncharacterized. Lineage: Eukaryota; Metazoa; Chordata; Mammalia; Chiroptera; Vespertilionidae. The transcript is spliced from 3 exons. The record is from RefSeq and is a predicted model, not a curated record.